This is a long non-coding RNA of Homo sapiens (human), 3681 nucleotides long. RefSeq annotates it as HPN antisense RNA 1. Lineage: Eukaryota; Metazoa; Chordata; Mammalia; Primates; Hominidae. The record is from RefSeq and is marked validated. The transcript is spliced from 4 exons.
GUAAUUGCUGCGGGGAGGACAGGCCAGCUCUGGAAGAAAACAGGUGGACCUGGGUCCCAUUAACCUGGACAGACACCUCCAAGAUGAGCAUGAGGGGGCUGCUGGAUCUGUUCUCCUUUCACAGCUGUAUCCUGAAGAAUGGCAGUGAGCCGGAAGAGCCACAGGAUUCGGCAAAGACGGACACACAGAAAUGGGUUCUCACUACGUUGCCCAGGCUGGUCUGGAACUCCUAGACUCAAGCGAUCCUCCCACCUCAGCCUCCCAAAGCACUGGGAUUACAGACAUGAGCCACCGCACCCGGUCAGGUGCAGCCGUUGGGGACUGCAAAGCUGUUGAUGCAGAAGGCCUAGUGCCUGGGGAUGCCCACAUUGCUGGUGUCUGCCACAUUCAGGAUGCCUGAGGUCCGGGAGCCAGGAAGGGUGAAGUAGUCCCUCUGUCGGCCGCUGUUGAAGCCUGCCUGGGGGUGUCAUUUGGAACAGGGUCAGCCCACCUGCGUCCUCACCCUCCCCAAGGACCCAGGGAGGCCCCUGUGGGUUCCCCACUCACCUGGGCCGCAAUGCCCCCCAGGCCGUGGUGGGGGCUCCCACCGCUGGCCACCCCCAUGGUCCACUGGAUGUCCUUGUGGUGAAACAGCACCCAGGAGGGGCCGCUGCCCAGGGCCAGCACCUCCUGGAAGGUGUUCACCUGCAGGGCAAGCGCCAGGAGCCAGGGUGUCGUGGGCUGGUCCAGGGGCACCCAGGACCCUCCUCACUGCCCAGUCCUCAACCGAGCUCCAUCUGCACCACUAAGCUGGCUGCUUCCAGCUGUGCCACCUCCUGGGCCCCCAUCCACACCACAUCCCGGGCCCCUACCCAUGCCACAUCCCAGACCCCCAUCCACGCCACCUCCCAGGCCCCUGUCCACACCAUGUCCACAGCUGCCUCUGCUGGCACCUGUGCCAGCCUUCCUUUCACAUCCCCCAGUCUCGAUUUUUCUGCUCUGCUCUCAUCCCCUCUCUCUCUCCGUCUCUCUCCUUUUCCUAUUCUCUGUCUCUCCAUCUGAUCAUCUCACUCCUCUCGCUUGCUGUCUUGCCUCCUCUCUCUCGCCAUUUCUCUCCCUGUUCGUGUCUUCCCUCUUUCUCACCCAUUUUCUCUACCUCGCUGCAUCUCCAUGCUUCCGUCUCUCUGUCUCUCUCUUCCCGCCCCCUCUAUCUCUCCCUCGUUCCCCCAUCUCCGUCUCUCCUCCGUGGUGUCUCCUCCUUACCCAGGAAUCCAAGCCCUUCUUCCCAAGGGGUUGGGCCAAACAGCCUCAGCCUGGGCCCUUCUCUGCCACCCGCUUCCUCACCUGGGGACCAAGUGCCCCGUAAAAUGGAAUUUGGUCCCACAUGGCCACCAGCAGGGCGCAAGGGGUGGGCGGGGCAUGGGGGAAGGCUGAGGCCAGGUCUCAGGCCACCUGCUGCGGCAGCUCUGGCUGGCGGCUCUGCCGGUACCACAUCUGGCCCCUGCUCAGUGUGGACCCAUUGGCCCAGAACGGGACUGCGAAGGCCUGGCCCAUCUCCUGGGGAAAUGCCUCCAGUGUGAAGAGAGCCACAGGCUCCCCGAAGGACACCAGCCCAUUGGUGCAGAACUGGGGGAAGUGAGGAAGGGCAAGACCCGCAGGGGGGUGUUGGCAGGGCAGGGGACAGAAGAGGGACAGGGCCCGCCCCAGGAAGACAGAGGACGAAGCCAGAAGGAGCCAGGAGCUAUAGAUAUAGACAGGCUCCGAGUCAAGAGUGGGGUGGGGAGAAGAGAGAGAGCCCAGGGACCGCACGGUCAGGGCCAGGGCACUCACAUAGGCCGUCCCGUGUGUGGCUUCAAAGAGCAUGAAGGGCUCCAGCAGCCGCAGCUCCUCAGAGAAGUCAUCAUCCUCUGCAGGGAGGGCCUGAUCCCCACACUCCAGCCCAUAGGGGUACAGGAGCGAGGCUGGGGACACGAGACCACUGAGGCUCCCCUCAGAGCCCCAGGGCAGGGCUGUGUCCCCUCAGUCCCCAAGAGAAAGCUCCAGGUCCCCUGAGGGACUCCAGGGUGGGGCCAUGGCUCCUCAGACCCCUGGAGCCCUCCCUGCCUGUCCACAUGGCCCUGUCCUCUCUCCAGGUUAGGGAGCACAUCCAUUCUCACCUCUGAUCUCCUUGCUCCAAGUCACUUGGUUCUGUAGGACUGAGGGGAAGGAUGUCAGCUAAGGGCUGGGGCCCACGUGGCACAGUCGACCCCCUUCCAGAGUCCCCACUCCUACUCACCCACCAGCAGAAGCCACAGUAUCCCCAUGGUGGCUGCAGGUGCUGCGGGCCAGGCGGGCUUAUACCAGGGCAGAGGUGGGGCCAGGGUGGGGACGGGGCAGCUGGAGCUCACCUUCCAUUGUUCGAGGGUCCAGGGGGCCUGGGGGUCUCCCAGGGAUCCUGGUUCCCAUCCGGUCUGCCUGAGGCUGGGCCAGGUCUGGGGUUGGUGGGCAGGGCAAGGGAGGAAAGAGGGGAUGGAAAUCUUCCAGGGCUUUCCCAGGGGGCCGGGUUGCCAGACCCUGGAGGAACCCCCCACCCAUUAGCAGGGCUGGGCACAAGUCAAGCGAUCCACAGUGGGAAAGUUGAGCCACUGCUUGGUGAAGGGCCGCUGCUGACAGACAGCUGAACAUGCAGGGAGCCUCUUCCCAUGGGGCCCUGCUGGUUCUCUUGGAGCAGGUUAGAGAUGAGCACACAGCAUCCAGGAACGGAGUGCAUGUGCAUCAAGCAGGGCCAAGAUGUGUGGCUGGGGAGACUCGUGGGCUGCUGGCCAGCCCCGGGGGCCCAGGGGUGGGCAUCUGCAGGGCAUGGCUGGGGCUGCCAUGGUGGAUAGUCAAGGUCAGGCAUUUAGGAGUGUUACUGGACCCAGAAGGGGAGAUUCGCCUGGAGACGUGAACGGGGAGACGGGGAGGAGGAGCAUACAGGCAAGGGGGCUCGUUACUGUGCACCUGUGAGAUUCACGGACCACCCUGGUGGAGGAGGCUCAGAGUUAGGCACUGGGGACUCCAUCUUCAAAGCAGUGUCCCAAAGGGGUGCUCCAGACCCUCAAACCCCAGACAGCCCUUUACCUGGUCAAACCACAUGGGACAGAGGGUCACCUGUGUUCCUGGACCAAACUGAGGAUUAGGCUGCUAUUUCUCAUGGCCCAGUGAUGAGAUGCAGAUAAACUGGGAGAACAGGGAGGUUUUUUUUGUUUUUGUUUUUGUUUUUGUUUUUGUUUUUUGAGACGGAGUCUCGCCCUAUCGCCCAGGCUGGAGUGCAAUGGCACUGUCUCGGCUCACGGCAACCUCUGCCUCCCGGGUUCAAGCAAUUCUCCUGCCUCAGCCUCCCAAGUAGUUGGGAUUACCAACACCCACCACCAUGCCUGGCUAAUUUUUGUAUUAUUAGUAGAGACGGGGUUUCUCCAUGUUGGUCAGGCUUGUCUCGAAUUCCUGACCUCAGGUGAUCCGCCUACCUCGGCCUCCCAAAGUGCUGGGAUUACAGGCAUGAGCCACCGCACCCAGCGAAAAGGGAGUUUUUAUUUCUGUAACUGGUUAUAGGGUGAAAGCCUGGAAAUUGUCCCCAGACCAACUCAAAAUUACAAAGUUUUCCAGAGCUUAUAUACCUUCUAAGCUAUAUGCCUGUGUGUAAGUGUAGUUUCUUCAGACCCCCAAUUAAACUUGUUUAAUCCU